GACGAACGCUGGCGGCGUGCUUAACACAUGCAAGUCGAACGGAAAGGCCCUGCUUUUGUGGGGUGCUCGAGUGGCGAACGGGUGAGUAACACGUGAGUAACCUGCCCUUGACUUUGGGAUAACUUUAGGAAACUGGGGCUAAUACCGGAUAGGAGCUCCUGCUGCAUGGUGGGGGUUGGAAAGUUUCGGCGGUUGGGGAUGGACUCGCGGCUUAUCAGCUUGUUGGUGGGGUAGUGGCAUACCAAGGCUUUGAAGGGUAGCCGGCCUGAGAGGGUGACCGGCCACAUUGGGACUAAGGUACGGACCAGUCUGCUACGGGAGGCAGCAGUGGGGAGUAUUGCACAAUGGGCCGGAGCCUGAUGCGGCGGCGCCGCGUGCGGGAUGACGGGCUUCGAGUUGUGAACCGCUUUCGCCUGUGACGAAGCGUGAGUGACGGUAAUGGGUAAAGAAGCACCGGCUAACUACGUG
Molecule: ribosomal RNA, 468 nt
Filed under: uncultured bacterium
Lineage: Bacteria
Description: partial 16S ribosomal RNA
Rfam family: Bacterial small subunit ribosomal RNA
Source: RNAcentral